CUGGUGGACAAAAAACUCAACAUGAGCCAGCAGUGCGUGCCUGCAGCUCAGAAGGCCAACUGCAUCCUGGGCUGAAUCAAAAGAGGUGUGACCAGCAGGUCGAGGGAGGUGAUUGUGCCCCUCUAUUCUGUCCUUGUGAGGCCUCACUUGGAGUACUGCAUCCAGGUUUGGGACCCCCAGCACAAGAAAGAUGUGGACCUGUUAGAGUGAGUCCAGAGGAGGGCUACAAAGAUGCUCAGAGGGC
Molecule: long non-coding RNA, 244 nt
Organism: Cygnus olor (mute swan)
Lineage: Eukaryota; Metazoa; Chordata; Aves; Anseriformes; Anatidae
Exons: 3
Source: RefSeq, a predicted model, not a curated record